AAAAGUUUGAUUCUUGCUUAUAUUUUUGUUUUUAGGUUAUGUGCAGAUGCAUAUUUUGGUGGGAAUUAGGUGUAAUUAUUUAAGGGAUUUACAUAAAUAUGGUGAGGUAUAUGAAGUCGCAGUGUAGAGUUUUAAGGAUUGAACGGAAGUUUGAUUUAGUAAAUUUAAAAAAACUUGAUUAAAUUUUGUGCCAGCAGUCGCGGUUAGACUCAGGAGUUAAACAAAAAUGUUUCGGUUAAAGUUAUUAUAGAUAUUAGGGUUUAAAUGUCAAUUGAGAUUUAUGGUUAAUAAAAGGUGGAAUUGGUUAUGUUAGAGACAAAUUGAGAUUGUGGUUUAAACUAAAGGAGACUUGAAAAAUUUAGGCAUAAAACAGGAUUAGAUACCCUGUUAUACUUAAAAGAAACAAACAGACUUGAAUAUUAGUAGCUAUGAGCUUUAAAUUCAAAGAAUUUGGCGGUAUUUUAGUCUUGUUAGAGGAACCUGUUCUGUGAAUGAUACUACACGAAGAAUCUUACUUACUUUUGUUUUUCAGUUUGUAUACCGUCAUUAUUAGAUAACCUUUAUUGAGAAAGUUAUUGAAGUAUAAAAAGUUAAAUAUAUUAGAUCAAGGUGCAGCUAAUAGGUAAGGAGAAAUGGGUUACAAUGGAAUUAAUUUAAACGUAUUGAUUAUUGAAUAAUAAUUAUGAAGGAGGAUUUAAUUGUAAUGAAAGUUUAAUAAGCUAACAUGAUAUGAGAACUAAAAUAUGUACAUAUCGCCCGUCGCUUCCAUUUAAGGUGGAAUAAGUCGUAACAUAGUAGGUGUACUGGAAAGUGCACCUAGAAUUAUU
This 827-nucleotide non-coding RNA is filed under the name Cherax robustus. The record is from RNAcentral. Lineage: Eukaryota; Metazoa; Arthropoda; Malacostraca; Decapoda; Parastacidae.